UACGUAGGGGGCAAGCGUUGUCCGGAAUCAUUGGGCGUAAAGAGCGUGUAGGCGGCCACUUAAGUCCUGCGUGAAAUCUUGCGGCUCAACCGCAAGCGGUCGUGGGAAACUGGGUGGCUAGAGUGCGGGAGAGGAGAGUGGAAUUUCUGGUGUAGCGGUGGAAUGCGCAGAUAUCAGGAGGAACACCGGUGGCGAAGGCGGGAUCCUGGGCCAGUACUGACGCUGAGGAGCGAAAGCGUGGGGAGCAAACAGG
RNAcentral lists this ribosomal RNA (253 nucleotides) under uncultured bacterium. Its description in RNAcentral is "partial 16S ribosomal RNA". It matches the Rfam family "Bacterial small subunit ribosomal RNA", at positions 524 to 776 of the family's 1533-position model. The record is from RNAcentral.